Molecule: non-coding RNA, 45 nt
Filed under: Schistosoma margrebowiei
Lineage: Eukaryota; Metazoa; Platyhelminthes; Trematoda; Strigeidida; Schistosomatidae
Source: RNAcentral
AUCCAGAUGACGAGUCUCAAACAGGAUGAAACGCGCAUCCUGGAU